This 322-nucleotide ribosomal RNA is filed under the name Bacillus pumilus. RNAcentral's name for it is "bacterial SSU rRNA". It matches the Rfam family "Bacterial small subunit ribosomal RNA", at positions 557 to 878 of the family's 1533-position model. The record is from RNAcentral. Lineage: Bacteria; Bacillati; Bacillota; Bacilli; Caryophanales; Bacillaceae.
GGCGUAAGGGCUCGCAGGCGGUUUCUUAAGUCUGAUGUGAAAGCCCCCGGCUCAACCGGGGAGGGUCAUUGGAAACUGGGAAACUUGAGUGCAGAAGAGGAGAGUGGAAUUCCACGUGUAGCGGUGAAAUGCGUAGAGAUGUGGAGGAACACCAGUGGCGAAGGCGACUCUCUGGUCUGUAACUGACGCUGAGGAGCGAAAGCGUGGGGAGCUAACACGAUUAGAUACCCUGGUAGUCCACGCCGUGAACGAUGAGUGCUAAGUGUUAGGGGGCUUCCCCCCCUUACUGCGGCAGGUAACGCAUUGGGAACUUCGCCUGGGG